GAUGAACGCUGGCGGCGUGCCUAAUACAUGCAAGUCGAACGCUUCACUUCGGUGAAGAGUGGCGAACGGGUGAGUAAUACAUAAGUAACCUGGCAUCUACAGGGGGAUAACUGAUGGAAACGUCAGCUAAGACCGCAUAGGUGUAGAGAUCGCAUGAACUCUAUAUGAAAAGUGCUACGGGACUGGUAGAUGAUGGACUUAUGGCGCAUUAGCUUGUUGGUAGGGUAACGGCCUACCAAGGCGACGAUGCGUAGCCGACCUGAGAGGGUGACCGGCCACACUGUGACUGAGACACGGCCCAGACUCCUACGGGAGGCAGCAGUAGGGAAUUUUCGGCAAUGGGGGAAACCCUGACCGAGCAACGCCGCGUGAAGGAAGAAGUAAUUCGUUAUGUAAACUUCUGUCAUAGAGGAAGAACGGUGGAUAUAGGGAAUGAUAUCCAAGUGACGGUACUCUAUAAGAAAGCCACGGCUAACUACGUG
This 482-nucleotide ribosomal RNA is filed under the name uncultured bacterium. RNAcentral's name for it is "partial 16S ribosomal RNA". It matches the Rfam family "Bacterial small subunit ribosomal RNA", at positions 28 to 507 of the family's 1533-position model. The record is from RNAcentral.